This 550-nucleotide ribosomal RNA is filed under the name uncultured bacterium. RNAcentral's name for it is "partial 16S ribosomal RNA". The record is from RNAcentral.
UAAACCUUGCGGCCGUACUCCCCAGGCGGUCUACUUAAUGCGUUAGCUUGAGAGCCCAGUGUUCAAGACACCAAACUCCGAGUAGACAUCGUUUACGGCGUGGACUACCAGGGUAUCUAAUCCUGUUUGCUCCCCACGCUUUCGUGCCUGAGCGUCAGUCUUUGUCCAGGGGGCCGCCUUCGCCACCGGUAUUCCUCCAGAUCUCUACGCAUUUCACCGCUACACCUGGAAUUCUACCCCCCUCUACAAGACUCUAGUUCGCCAGUUCGAAAUGCAAUUCCCAGGUUGAGCCCGGGGCUUUCACAUCUCGCUUAACAAACCGCCUGCGCACGCUUUACGCCCAGUAAUUCCGAUUAACGCUCGGACCCUCCGUAUUACCGCGGCUGCUGGCACGGAGUUAGCCGGUCCUUCUUCUGUAGGUAACGUCACAGUAAUAGCGUAUUAAACUAUUACCUUUCCUCCCUACUGAAAGUGCUUUACAACCCGAAGGCCUUCUUCACACACGCGGCAUGGCUGCAUCAGGGUUUCCCCCAUUGUGCAAUAUUCCCCA